CUGAAUGUUAAUGGCCUCUUUAAAGGUCUUGUCUCCAAAUGCAGUCACAUUGGGGGUUAAGGCUUCAGCAUAUGAGUUUGGGGGUGACACAAUGCACUUUGUAGCAGGUAUUAAUCAAAUGGAAGUAGAAGCCACAAGAGCUACACUUGAAAGAAGCGAGAAGGUGGAGGAGACCCAGAAGCUACGGACAAACGCAGGGGAAACUAGCAUUCCUGGGCAAGCAGAGGGCCCUGUGAGGAGACAGAAGGAAAGUGGGGAAGCACCACAAGACGCAGUGGCCUCAAUUUUUUGCUCGGUGGGAGGAGACAAGGAGCGAAGCACCAGGCCUGAGGUCAGAAGGGAGCAUGGGUUUACAGGUAAAAAAGGAAACACAACAACAACAGAGACCCGGAGAGUUGACAUAACCUGUUGGCGACAAGUGGCUAGUGUAGCUGGAGUUGGGAAUUGGACUGAGGCAUGUCUGGAUCCAAAGCCACAACUCGCUGAUUGUCAGGUUGAGAAACACGGCUGGCUGCACCCACGUCUGUGACCAUAGCUGGCUCUCUCGGAAGGAUCAAUAACAACUCCGUGAGCUCUGUUCCCAGAUCUCUCCAGAGUCCAACCACUCCCACCCCAGUCUCCCGCCUGGGCCACCACCACAACCCACCUGGUUUUACUGAAACAAUCUAAGAGGUCUCCUGCUUUUAGCAGCUGGAGUGAUCUUUUGAAAGAUUCCAUCUGAUCAUGCUUCUCUUGUGCUUAGAGCCCUCUGGUGGCUCCAGUGUCACCCAGAGUCAAAGCCAAAGUCCCUAUAACAGCCUAGGAAGCCCUUCGCACCCGCAGUUCCAUAUCCCCCAUCUCUCAUGAUCUCUGGUUUUACUGCUUCCUGCUCUCCCCUCUGCUUCAGUUAUGUGAGCCUCCGUUCUAAUCCUGGAGAGCACAGCACGCUCCUGCCUCAGGGCCUUUGUACUUGCGCCUGCUGUCUGCUGUCUGAAAGGCCCUUCCCCAAGGACCUCCUAGCCACUGCAACCCUUCCUACCUGCUCCCAACUCUCUGCACCCCCUGCCCUUUUCCUCCCCACAGCACUGUCGCCAAGUGAUGUCAUUUGACUGAUUUAUUUAAUAAUUUUCUGCUCCCCCUGCUAGAAUGUAAGCUUCAUGAGCAUAUGGGUUUUUCUGGGGUCCCCCCUACCCCCGCUGCUGUAUUUCUAGUAUCUAGAACAGUACUAGGCACAUACUAGAUUCUCAACAAAUGUUUGUGGAAGAAAGGGAGAAAGGUGUCGGUCAUCUGAUUUCGGGUGGUGCCAAACUCUGGGCGGGCCUGGGAAAAGCUGAAAGCUGGGGCCCAUCUCCCAGGCAGAAGUGGCUUUGGCCUCUUAGUGCUUCCUCUUUGCAGCUUCAGGACAAAAUGGUUUUUGUUUCUUUAAAUUUUUAUUGAAUUUAUUGGGGUGACAUUGGUUAAUAAAACUUUGUAGGUUUCAGGGGUACAAUUCUAUUGUACAUCAUUUGUAUGUUGUGCUGUGUGUUUGCCACCCCAAGUCAAGCCUCUUUCCAUCACCAUUUACCCCCCUUUUCCUUCCUCUACCUCCCCCAACCCCCUUCCCUCUGGUCAUCAAAAUACUGUUGUCUGUGUCUAUGAGGCUUUUGUUUGUUUGGUUUUUUUGCUUAAUCCCUUCCCUUUUUCCCCCAGCCCCCCAGACCCCUCCCCUCUGACAGCUGUCAGUCUGUUCUCUGACUGUAUGAGUCUGUUUCUA
Molecule: long non-coding RNA, 1732 nt
Organism: Artibeus jamaicensis (Jamaican fruit-eating bat)
Lineage: Eukaryota; Metazoa; Chordata; Mammalia; Chiroptera; Phyllostomidae
Exons: 3
Source: RefSeq, a predicted model, not a curated record